GACGACGCUGGCGGCGUGCUUAACACAUGCAAGUCGAACGGUGACGAGGAGCUUGCUCCUCUGAUCAGUGGCGAACGGGUGAGUAACACGUGAGUAACCUGCCCCAGACUCUGGAAUAACAGUUGGAAACAGCUGCUAAUACCGGAUACGAGACGGAGAGGCAUCUCUACCGUCUGGAAAGUUUUUCGGUCUGGGAUGGACUCGCGGCCUAUCAGCUUGUUGGUGAGGUAAUGGCUCACCCAAGGCGACGACGGGUAGCCGGCCUGAGAGGGCGACCGGCCACACUGGGACUGAGACACGGCCCAGACUCCUACGGGAGGCAGCAGUGGGGAAUAUUGCACAAUGGGCGAAAGCCUGAUGCAGCAACGCCGCGUGAGGGAUGACGGCCUUCGGGUUGUAAACCUCUUUCAGUAGGGAAGAAGCGAAAGUGACGGUACCUACAGAAGAAGCACCGGCUAACUACGUG
RNAcentral lists this ribosomal RNA (466 nucleotides) under uncultured bacterium. RNAcentral describes it as "bacterial SSU rRNA". It matches the Rfam family "Bacterial small subunit ribosomal RNA", at positions 33 to 507 of the family's 1533-position model. The record is from RNAcentral.